RNAcentral lists this ribosomal RNA (416 nucleotides) under uncultured bacterium. RNAcentral's name for it is "bacterial SSU rRNA". It matches the Rfam family "Bacterial small subunit ribosomal RNA", at positions 28 to 446 of the family's 1533-position model. The record is from RNAcentral.
GAUGAACGCUGGCGGCGCGCCUAACACAUGCAAGUCGAACGGCACCCACCCUCGGGUGGAAGCGAGUGGCGAACGGCUGAGUAACACGUGGAGAACCCGCCCCCUCCUCCGGGAUAGCCUCGGGAAACCGUGGGUAAUACCGGAUGACCCCGCAGGGCCGCAUGGCCCCGCGGGCAAAGCCCAGACGGGAGGGGAUGGCUCCGCGGCCCAUCAGGUAGACGGCGGGGUGACGGCCCACCGUGCCGACGACGGGUAGCCGGGUUGAGAGACCGACCGGCCAGAUUGGGACUGAGACACGGCCCAGACUCCUACGGGAGGCAGCAGUGGGGAAUCUUGCGCAAUGGGGGGAACCCUGACGCAGCGACGCCGCGUGCGGGACGAAGGCCCUCGGGUCGUAAACCGCUUUCAGCAGGGAU